This 391-nucleotide ribosomal RNA is filed under the name Hyalophora cecropia (cecropia moth). RNAcentral's name for it is "partial 16S ribosomal RNA". Lineage: Eukaryota; Metazoa; Arthropoda; Insecta; Lepidoptera; Saturniidae. The record is from RNAcentral.
UUGUGCAAAGGUAGCAUAAUCAUUAGUCUCUUAAUUGGUGACUUGUAUGAAGGAUUGGAUGAAAUAUAAGCUGUCUUAGGAAUAUUUAAUUGAAUUUAAUUUUUUAAUUAAAAAGUUAAAAUAAUUUAAAAAGACGAGAAGACCCUAUAGAGUUUUAUAUUAUGUUAAAUUAAAAUUAUUUAUAUAAUUAUUAAUAUAGAUUUGAUUUUAAUAUUUUGUUGGGGUGACAAAAAAAUAAAUAAAACUUUUUUUUAAGUUUAACAUUAAUAAGUGAAUAUUUGAUCCAAUUUUAUUGAUUAUAAGAAAAAAUUACCUUAGGGAUAACAGCGUAAUUUUUUUUUUUAGUUCUUAUAAGAAGAAAAGUUUGCGACCUCGAUGUUGGAUCAGGACA